GGGGAAUUUUCCGCAAUGGGCGAAAGCCUGACGGAGCAAGACCGCGUGGGGGAAGAAGGCUCUUGGGUUGUAAACCCCUUUUCUCUGGGAAGAACACAAUGACGGUACCAGAGGAAUCAGCAUCGGCUAACUCCGUGCCAGCAGCCGCGGUAAGACGGAGGAUGCAAGCGUUAUCCGGAAUGAUUGGGCGUAAAGCGUCCGCAGGUGGCAGUUCAAGUCUGCUGUCAAAGACCGGGGCUUAACCUCGGAAAGGCAGUGGAAACUGAACAGCUAGAGUAUGGUAGGGGCAAAGGGAAUUCCUGGUGUAGCGGUGAAAUGCGUAGAGAUCAGGAAGAACAUCGGUGGCGAAGGCGCUUUGCUGGACCAUAACUGACACUCAGGGACGAAAGCUAGGGGAGCGAAAGGGAUUAGAUA
Molecule: ribosomal RNA, 414 nt
Filed under: uncultured cyanobacterium
Lineage: Bacteria; Bacillati; Cyanobacteriota
Description: bacterial SSU rRNA
Rfam family: Bacterial small subunit ribosomal RNA
Source: RNAcentral